GAUGAAGAACGUAGCGAAAUGCGAUAAGUAAUGUGAAUUGCAGAAUUCAGUGAAUCAUCGAAUCUUUGAACGCACCUUGCGCCCUUUGGCUAUUCUGAAGGGCAUGCCUGUUUGAGUAUCGUGAACACCUCAACUCUCAUGGUCUGCCAUGAUGAGCUUGGACUUUGGGGGUCUUGCUGGCCUACUGUCAGCUCCUCUCAAAUGAAUCAGCUUACCAGUGUUUGGUGGCACCACAGGUGUGAUAACUAUCUACGCUUGUGGUUUUCUGCCAGGUAACCUCCAGUGAUGGAGGUUUGCUGGAGCUCACAAAUGUCUCUCCUCAGCGAGGACAGCUUUUUGAACGUUUGAUCUCAAAUCAGGUAGGACUACCCGCUGAACUUAAGCAUAUCAAUAAGCGGAGGA
RNAcentral lists this unclassified non-coding RNA (402 nucleotides) under soil metagenome. Its description in RNAcentral is "partial contains 5.8S ribosomal RNA, internal transcribed spacer 2, and large subunit ribosomal RNA". The stretch from base 1 to 121 matches the Rfam family "5.8S ribosomal RNA", at positions 35 to 154 of the family's 154-position model. The record is from RNAcentral.